UUCCGGUUGAUCCUGCCGGACCUGACUGCUAUCGGAUUGAUACUAAGCCAUGCGAGUCAUUGUAGCAAUACAAGGCAGACGGCUCAGUAACGCGUAGUCAACCGAACCUAUGGACGGGAAUAACCUCGGGAAACUGAGAAUAAUGCCCGAUAGAACACUAUACCUGGAAUGGUUUGUGUUCCAAAUGAUUUAUCGCCGUAGGAUGGGACUGCGGCCUAUCAGUUUGUUGGUGAGGUAAUGGCCCACCAAGACUAUUACAGGUACGAGCUCUGAGAGGAGCAGCCCGGAGAUGGGUACUGAGACACGGACCCAGGCCCUAUGGGGCGCAGCAGGCGAGAAAACUUUGCAACGUGCGAAAGCA
RNAcentral lists this ribosomal RNA (361 nucleotides) under uncultured archaeon. Its description in RNAcentral is "bacterial SSU rRNA". It matches the Rfam family "Archaeal small subunit ribosomal RNA", at positions 1 to 367 of the family's 1478-position model. The record is from RNAcentral.